AUAAAAAGCAAUUUGUUACAUAACCUACUUUAUUAUUUGACACUGUAUGCCUUCAGCCAAAUUCCUUGAGUGUGUUUACAUGUAUGGCCAUUACAGCAUUUUCUUAUCUCUCCUCACUCUUUUUUUAUCCCAGUCUUCCUCUUGCCAACAGGCAUCAUGAAGCUUUUUUUGUCCGCCCCUUAGCUGUGUGCUGCUUCUAAAUAUGACAUCUCCUCUCCCUGCAGCUGAUUCUGCUCAAACGAAAGCUGUUCCCCAGACGCCGAGUGAACACGGACAGCAACCCCGAGCGAGUGUGAAGGAAGGGGGGAAAAAAAACCCUCUCUUCGCUCCUUACUGCGCUUCCACCUCCCCAACCCUUUUCUCUCCUGAUCAGUCGAGAAUCCUGGAGGAGGAUUCGGACCAGGGGGACUGGGUGGAAACGGGAAUCUGAAGCCCUACCCCCCCCCCUCCUCCCCUCUCAGGUGUUGGUGUUGCAUCAGCACAGAUGGAGGAUACAGACUCAAGAGAGAUGGUGAUGAAACUUUUUUUUAUUUUAUUUUUUUCCCUGAAGAUGAUGGAUGUGGCUGUCCGCUGAAAGGAAUGAAAGCCAGAAAGAAGAAGCCUGUAAAUCUUCUUUUUCUUCUCCUCCGCCGGGGACUUUUGUACGACCGCCACACUUAACCAGUAGAAAAACAAACACUCCCUCACACUGCACCACCCGCCUCGUGUCCUGCCCUCACCAGGCCUGCUGAUUGAUGUGCUGUUAAAGUGUGAAACAUUUGACAGCAGCGGGUCAGGACUCCUAAUGUGUGUGUGUGUGUGUCUGUGUGUGUGUGUGUGUUAGUGUUCAACAAGCCUGGAGAAAGUUUAACAAACGCUCGUUUAAAACUCAAACGAUGAACAGAUUGAUCAAGUUGAGGAUUGACAGAAACACCUGGAACUUUACUGAAAAUGAACCAGUAGUUUGUAGUUACUUUACAAGGGAAGAAUGCCAACGUCAGCUGCUCCCCUACGGAAGCCCGAAGGAGACAAGCAUCCAUGCUUUUUAUUUACUCCAUUGUCCUGUCAAUAUAAGUCAUUACUUCUUGUUUUCUCGACGUGUUUAUCUCUCAUGAGGGAAGUUGAAAAAGGCACUAUACAAACAGAAAUCGUUAUCUGGCCAAUCACAGGGAUCGAUCAAGUUUUGUUUAUUAGAUUGCCAGAAAAGUAUCCCCUCAUCUCGAGAAGACAAGCUUUUUUUUUAUCCUGAAAUAAUGAGAUGAACUCGUUCUUUAUAAUGGGGGAAAAGAAGCUCUGUUAUCCGGCUCUGGAGGAAACAACCAGAAGUUACAAAAUCACAGGAAUGUGAGUCAAUAAAACGUAGUGAUGUGUGUCCACUCAGGGCUGCCGAAGGUAACAUCUUGAUUAUAAUAAUUUUCUUUAGCUUUUCUCUGUUUUAUAUCGUUAAGAUUUUGAUUAUUAUUAUUUUUUUUUUCAGAUGGUCUGUUGAAAAAGACUUUGGAAACUUUGGUUGCGCGGAAACUGUGAUGAGAAUUUUUCUGACUUUUACUGACAAAACGGUACUUUGAGUCGACAAAGAAAUUGGUACUCACAGCCCCUCCCACUUUUUGUUGUUGUCUUUUACUCCGCUUGCUUUAUUUUAAAGGACAAAGGAGGAAAUAAUUCAUAUAGGACAAAUCUGAUAUUUACAAAAGCUGUUGUAUCUUUCUCUGUUGUCGUCAAAACAUGAGAACUUGAAGUGCCUUCGUUCUUCAUUCCUGCUCGUUGGAUUGUUUUUCUUUAUCUCCUUUUUUCUUUGUCUGCCAAACUUUUCUUUUGAUAAAAAAUAAUCAUGAACGGGAAAUGGGGAUACUCAACGAUCGUUGUCAAUGUGGUACUGAUGUAACUGAUUGUUGGCGCUGCAUGUACGUGAUGCUCCAGCUCUCACAGCCACCUGUACGUGUGUCCCUGUGGGACUCAACAGGCUCGCUACUGUCUGAAAUUCAGACGCCCUCAGCAUGUUGUGUAACUUAUUCUCAUUGUGUUAAUCUCGACGGUGAGCCUGGUGACUGAUGCGUCCGAAGAUGAACGCUCCAGAAUGUAAACACAGCCUGUGUUGCAUCUUCAAACAUCUCUUCUCUUGAACAGUUUCACACAGUUCUUUUGAUAUAAUGAUAAAAACAGAAGAGACCCGCCGCUCCGUGUGGUCACAACGUGGACACAGUGAACUCAGCAGGCGACCCGAUAAAGACUCACAUAUCUGUAAUCCCUCCGAAUGCAUCAGUUCAACGGCUCCUCACUGAAAUAAAAUGUGAUUGGGUUCAGUAAUUUUGUUCUCUGUCAUUUUGUUCAUGUAGAUCAGAUCUCUCUCUCUCCCACGGUGCAGCAGGUUGGCAGAGACGGACCGUCUUAAAAAGCAAGAUCAGAUCUGAACGGAGGCGGAGGAGAGGAAUCCUUGAACGCACCACCAGCUUGUUGGAGAUCUUGGAGAUGACCAUGCCAAAGGCGAGCAGGUACAGGCAGGGGUGGUGCUCGAACAGGUGGCUGGAGGACUUCUUGAAAAUGAUGAAGGCCAGGGUGAGGAUGAGGCCGAUGUGCAGACCAGGACUCAACACGCUGGUGUCCUACGCAGAGAGGAUGUCAGUGAGCAUGCUUUAUUACACGAUACUCACCGUAAAGCUGAUUCAACACAGCCAUCCUCAGACGUGAGUGAACUUACUGCCACAGUGGAGCCGUUUUUACCGACGCCGCCGUUCAGGAUCACAUGGAAGUAGUUGUAGCAGGAGAAGAGCGCCCCUCCAAUGAUGCCCAUGAUGGGGAAGGCGUACAUCUUCAGUCCAAUGAGGGGCAACUACAGAAACACGGGAAGGUCAAAUUUAGUGAUGAGGCGCGCAGCACUCCCCCUCGUGGAGAAGUUGAUAGAAACAGUGAAGCUGCAGGCAUGCCGAGCGUGAUGGGAGGGCAAAGCAUAAAAAAAAAAAAAAGAAAUGUGCAUGACAUCAGCUUUUUGAGCCAGAUCAUGUCCAAUAGAUGACCUGUUGCCAUGGCGUUAGCUAUCCAUAUUUACCUUCUAUCUUCUCUCAUGUGAUGUUAAGUGAAGCCUCCAAAGGCAGCACAGAGUCAAAGUAAAACACAAAGUCUAUUUAAAGACUACAAGGACGACUAAAAAGGGACGAGCUAAUUAGGUGUCAAAAAAAUGAAUAAAAUAGGGGGAAUAUACACUCGAGGUGAAAUGAGAGGUUUUCUGUGUUGGUUUGGUGUCUUUUUAAAUAUUCAGUGGUCAGUUACCGUCGUUUGCCAGAGGCUAACGCCCCCGAAAGCCGUCAUCAUAUACAUGAUCAUGAUGGCCAACUGCACCUCUGUCACGUCAAUCCUGAGAGAACGAGCAGAGCAAAGAGUGAGAUGAUCCUUAAAGUAAUGAACAUUAACAUCAUCAGUGUUACAACCCGGAAUUCCUAAAAAGCUGGGACGUUGUUUAAAACAUUUAAACCCUUCCCCUUCCCUUUUAAAGAUUUUUUUUUUUUUUUUUUGGCCUUUGAGA
Labrus bergylta (ballan wrasse) is the source of this 3499-nucleotide non-coding RNA. The record is from RefSeq and is a predicted model, not a curated record. Lineage: Eukaryota; Metazoa; Chordata; Actinopteri; Labriformes; Labridae.